Molecule: ribosomal RNA, 305 nt
Filed under: uncultured bacterium
Lineage: Bacteria
Description: bacterial SSU rRNA
Rfam family: Bacterial small subunit ribosomal RNA
Source: RNAcentral
AAUGGCCUACGGGGCGCAGCAGUAGGGAAUAUUGCUCAAUGGGGGAAACCCUGAAGCAGCAACGCCGCGUGGAGGAUGAAGGUUUUCGGAUUGUAAACUCCUUUUGUUAGAGAAGAUAAUGACGGUAUCUAACGAAUAAGCACCGGCUAACUCCGUGCCAGCAGCCGCGGUAAUACGGAGGGUGCAAGCGUUACUCGGAAUCACUGGGCGUAAAGAGCGCGUAGGCGGGAUAGCAAGUCAGAUGUGAAAUCCUAUGGCUUAACCCUCGAACUGCAUUUGAAACUGUUAUUCUAGCGUAUGGGAGG